Molecule: ribosomal RNA, 773 nt
Filed under: uncultured Neocallimastigales
Lineage: Eukaryota; Fungi; Neocallimastigomycota; Neocallimastigomycetes; Neocallimastigales
Description: partial large subunit ribosomal RNA
Rfam family: Eukaryotic large subunit ribosomal RNA
Source: RNAcentral
UAUGUGAUCGUCUCUCGCAUAUCAAUAAGCGGAGGAAAAGAAACUAACAAGGAUUCCCCUAGUAACGGCGAGUGAAGCGGGAAGAGCUCAAAUUUGAAAUCUUAAAGGGUUUCCCUUUACGAAUUGUAGUUUAAAGAAGUGUUUUCUGUUGAGGUUUUGGUAAAAGUUCUUUGGAAUAGGACAUCAUAGAGGGUGAGAAUCCCGUAUUUGACCUUUACUUUCAACUUUGUGAUACACUUUCAAAGAGUCGGAUUGUUUGGGAAUGCAGUCCAAAAUGGGUGGUAAAUUUCAUCUAAAGCUAAAUAUUGGCGAGAGACCGAUAGCGAACGAGUACCGUGAGGGAAAGAUGAAAAGAACUUUGAAAGGAGAGUUAAACAGUACGUGAAAUUGUCAAAAGGGAAGCGUUUGACACCAGUGUUGUUUUUCUGAAAAUCAAUUAAAGAACUGUUUAUGCUAAGCUGUUUAGACUUUAUCAGCUAACUGUUUAGUUUUGAGCUUUUCUUUAAUGCACUUUUCAGUUAACAAGUCAACAUCAAUUUCUUUUGCUGUAAAAAAGCUUGAGGAAGGUGGCUUGAGAUUCGUCUUAAGUGUUUAUAGCCUCUUGCCUAUGCAGUCGGAGAGAUUGAGGUCUGCAGCGUAGAUCCUUCGGGGCUAAAUGCAUUUGUGCUAAGUUAUAGCAUUUUAUAGACAACUUGUUGACUAUGAUUUGUCUUGUAGCUUACUCGCUUAUGUUAUUUUACCUACGCUUAGGAUGUUGAUCUGUAGUGCGUGCG